AUCUUUCUCGUACCAAACCCACCCCUGCCACACCACCGCUUUCCGCCCAACGCCACCGGCAGUGAAGCUCCAAACACCCCAAAUUUUCACCACAUAAUCAUCUCUUCCCCCUCUUUCCAUCCCCAUGAUAAAAGGCUUUCGAAUCACAACCAAUAUCGUCGAAUCCGCCAUCAAAGAUUUUCCAGUCAAGUGGCGAGUUGGCCAAAAUAAAUCCAAAAUCACACCAGGCGACCAUCUUCCUUCCUUCCGUGCUAUUUCACGCUCAGAAUCACUCAAAUCCAAGCAGAACGGCUUG
This 295-nucleotide long non-coding RNA is filed under the name Nicotiana benthamiana. RNAcentral's name for it is "long non-coding RNA (NBEN_LNC011223)". The record is from RNAcentral. Lineage: Eukaryota; Viridiplantae; Streptophyta; Magnoliopsida; Solanales; Solanaceae.